UCAGGCCUAACACAUGCAAGUCGAGGGGUAGAAGGAGCUUGCUCCUUUGAGACCGGCGCACGUGUGCGUAACGCGUAUGCAAUCUACCUUUUACAGAGGGAUAGCCCAGAGAAAUUUGGAUUAAUACCUCAUAGUAUAUAUCAUUCGCAUGUUUGGUAUAUUAAAGUUCCAACGGUAAAAGAUGAGCAUGCGUCCCAUUAGUUAGUUGGUAAGGUAACGGCUUACCAAGACGAUGAUGGGUAGGGGUCCUGAGAGGGAGAUCCCCCACACUGGUACUGAGACACGGACCAGACUCCUACGGGAGGCAGCAGUGAGGAAUAUUGGUCAAUGGACGCAAGUCUGAACCAGCCAUGCCGCGUGCAGGAAGACGGUCCUAUGGAUUGUAAACUGCUUUUGUACGGGAAGAAGCACUCCUAC
RNAcentral lists this ribosomal RNA (417 nucleotides) under uncultured bacterium. Its description in RNAcentral is "bacterial SSU rRNA". It matches the Rfam family "Bacterial small subunit ribosomal RNA", at positions 42 to 459 of the family's 1533-position model. The record is from RNAcentral.